CGUAGGUAACACAAUCUAUCUCACACAUAGUUUUCUGUUUCGCAGAUUUUGCGCACCAAUCUUCCCACGACGACGAACAUAUCUUUGGGAAUUGAGGAUUUGUUUUCUGUUCUUCCGCUGCACAUUUGAUGUCGCUGAACAGACCCUAAGCUUUUAUCGUAAAAGAAAGAAGGGAAUAGGGAAUGAUCGCUUCGAGGGGAACGACCUCCUUGAUCGCUUCGAGGGGAUCGGCCUCCUAGGGUUUGUCCAUAGACUGGAAUAAUAUUUCAUUGAUUGAUUGAUUCAUUGAUUUCCGAAAAGAAAGGGUUACAUCACUAUUUAUAGAGUUCCACCCAGAGUCCACCAGGACUUAGACUCUAAUAAUAAAUAAAUAUUAAAUAAACCUCUACCUGACUCUAACUGAACCAAAUAAACUCAAUAAAUAACUGAACUAAACAUACUCAAUAAAUAUUAUUGAAAAGCUCAGAAAAAAGGUCCUAACAAUUCCUCCCUCUUCAAAUCAGCCUUAUCCUCAAGGUUGAGCAGCAUCAAACUCGGGGAGCUUCUCUUUCAGCACUUUAGUCUUAGGCUAUCUAUAAUGCAUCACAACCUAUUGAUCAAGUAAGUAUGGUCUCCACUUUCUGACAGUGUAUACAACAGGUUGGUCUUUUAGUGUAGUAAUUGUUGCAAGAAUCUCGUGGCCCUGUAUAAUCAAAUUUUUCUUUGAACAUUUGCUAUCACAAGUUAAAAUUCGUCCAUCAAUGAUCUUUACUUCGAAUCUGUCACAGCCUUCAAUGUGGUAAGCUAAUCGAGCUGCAACUUUCUUGUCCAUAAAAUUAUUAGUGCUGCACGUAUCAAUCAAAAUAAUGACAGGCUGAUGCUUCAAAGUUCCUUUGAUUUUCAUAG
This 885-nucleotide long non-coding RNA is filed under the name Musa acuminata (dwarf banana). RNAcentral describes it as "long non-coding RNA (MACU_LNC000547)". Lineage: Eukaryota; Viridiplantae; Streptophyta; Magnoliopsida; Zingiberales; Musaceae. The record is from RNAcentral.